RNAcentral lists this small RNA (126 nucleotides) under Marmota monax (woodchuck). The record is from RNAcentral. Lineage: Eukaryota; Metazoa; Chordata; Mammalia; Rodentia; Sciuridae.
GCUGGGUAUGGUGGCGCAUACCUGUAAUCCCAGCAGCCCAGGAGGCUGAGGCAGGAGAUUCAUGAGUUCAAAGCCAGCCGAAGCAAAAAGUGAGGCACUAAACAACUCAGUGAGACCCUGUCUCUA